GAUGAACGCUGGCGGCGUGCUUAACACAUGCCAGUCGAACGAAGCAUUUAAGACAGAUUACUUCGGUUUGAAGUCUUUUAUGACUGAGUGGCGGACGGGUGAGUAACGCGUGGGUAACCUGCCUCAUACAGGGGGAUAGCAGCUGGAAACGGCUGGUAAUACCGCAUAAGCGCACAGUACCACAUGGUACAGUGUGAAAAACUCCGGUGGUAUGAGAUGGACCCGCGUCUGAUUAGCUUGUUGGCGGGGUAGCGGCCCACCAAGGCGGCGAUCAGUAGCCGACCUGAGAGGGUGACCGGCCACAUUGGGACUGAGACACGGCCCAGACUCCUACGGGAGGCAGCAGUGGGGAAUAUUGCACAAUGGAGGAAACUCUGAUGCAGCGACGCCGCGUGAGUGAAGAAGUAGUUCGCUAUGUAAAGCUCUAUCAGCAGGGAAGAUAGUGACGGUACCUGACGAAGAAGCUCCGGCUAAAUACGUG
Molecule: ribosomal RNA, 481 nt
Filed under: uncultured bacterium
Lineage: Bacteria
Description: partial 16S ribosomal RNA
Rfam family: Bacterial small subunit ribosomal RNA
Source: RNAcentral